Molecule: small nuclear RNA, 174 nt
Organism: Heterocephalus glaber (naked mole-rat)
Lineage: Eukaryota; Metazoa; Chordata; Mammalia; Rodentia; Bathyergidae
Gene: U2
Rfam family: U2 spliceosomal RNA
About the family: U2 is a small nuclear RNA (snRNA) component of the spliceosome (involved in pre-mRNA splicing). Complementary binding between U2 snRNA (in an area lying towards the 5' end but 3' to hairpin I) and the branchpoint sequence (BPS) of the intron results the bulging out of an unpaired adenosine, on the BPS, which initiates a nucleophilic attack at the intronic 5' splice site, thus starting the first of two transesterification reactions that mediate splicing.
Source: Ensembl
AUCGCUUCUUGGCCUUUUGGCUAAGAUCAAGUGUAGUACCAUUUGUGUAGUUAGCUGGGAAAUUAUUUCUGUUUUGAAAAUUUCUAGAGCCUCAUUCAUCUGUUUUGUUACUUCCUAUGCUAUCAGGUCGGGGUGUCCAGGUGGUUGAUUAUCAGACUGUUCCACCUUCUUUCC